RNAcentral lists this ribosomal RNA (892 nucleotides) under Lecanora valesiaca. Its description in RNAcentral is "LSU rRNA". It matches the Rfam family "Eukaryotic large subunit ribosomal RNA", at positions 69 to 978 of the family's 3401-position model. The record is from RNAcentral. Lineage: Eukaryota; Fungi; Ascomycota; Lecanoromycetes; Lecanorales; Lecanoraceae.
CAGGGAUUGCCUCAGUAACGGCGAGUGAAGCGGCAAAAGCUCAAAUUUGAAAUCUGGCCCCGUCGGGGUCCGAGUUGUAAUUUGUAGAGGACGUUUCGGGAACGGCAUCGGUCUAAGUCCCUUGGAACAGGGCGUCAUAGAGGGUGAGAAUCCCGUCUGCGACCGGUGACCUACCCCAUGUGAAACUCCUUCGACGAGUCGAGUUGUUUGGGAAUGCAGCUCAAAAUGGGUGGUAAAUUUCAUCUAAAGCUAAAUACCGGCCAGAGACCGAUAGCGCACAAGUAGAGUGAUCGAAAGAUGAAAAGCACUUUGGAAAGAGAGUCAAAAAGUACGUGAAAUUGUUGAAAGGGAAGCGCUUGCAACCAGACCUGUACGCCGGCGAUCAACCUCUGUUCUCAGGGGUGCACUCGUCGGCGAUCAGGCCAGCAUCGGUUCGGGCGGCUGGAUAAAGGCCUUGGGAACGUAGCUCCUUUCGGGGAGUGUUAUAGCCCUCGGUGCAAUGCGGCCCGCCCGGACCGAGGACCGCGCUUCGGCUAGGAUGCUGGCAUAAUGGUUGUAAGCGACCCGUCUUGAAACACGGACCAAGGAGUUGAACAUCUAUGCAAGUGUUUGGGCGUCAAACCCAUACGCGUAAUGAAAGUGAACGGAGGUGAGAACCCAUUGAGGGCGCAUCAUCGACCGAUCCAGAUGUCUUCGGAUGGAUUUGAGUACGAGCAUAGCUGUUCUGACCCGAAAGAUGGUGAUCUAUACCUGAAUAGGGUGAAGCCAGAGGAAACUCUGGUGGAGGCUCGCAGCGGUUCUGACGUGCAAAUCGAUCGUCAAAUUUGGGUAUAGGGGCGAAAGACUAAUCGAACCAUCUAGUAGCUGGUUCCUGCCGAAGUUUCCCUCAGGA